Molecule: ribosomal RNA, 710 nt
Filed under: uncultured Actinomycetales bacterium
Lineage: Bacteria; Bacillati; Actinomycetota; Actinomycetes; Actinomycetales
Description: bacterial SSU rRNA
Rfam family: Bacterial small subunit ribosomal RNA
Source: RNAcentral
CUGGCGGCGUGCUUAACACAUGCAAGUCGAACGGAAAGGCCCUGCUUGCAGGGUACUCGAGUGGCGAACGGGUGAGUAACACGUGGGUGAUCUGCCCUGCACUUCGGGAUAAGCUUGGGAAACUGGGUCUAAUACCGGAUAGGAACCAUCUUUAGUGUGGUGGUUGGAAAGUUUUUUCGGUGUAGGAUGAGCUCGCGGCCUAUCAGCUUGUUGGUGGGGUAAUGGCCUACCAAGGCGGCGACGGGUAGCCGGCCUGAGAGGGUGUACGGCCACAUUGGGACUGAGAUACGGCCCAGACUCCUACGGGAGGCAGCAGUGGGGAAUAUUGCACAAUGGGCGCAAGCCUGAUGCAGCGACGCCGCGUGGGGGAUGAAGGCCUUCGGGUUGUAAACUCCUUUCGCUAGGGACGAAGCUUUUUGGUGACGGUACCUAGAUAAGAAGCACCGGCUAACUACGUGCCAGCAGCCGCGGUAAUACGUAGGGUGCGAGCGUUGUCCGGAAUUACUGGGCGUAAAGGGCUCGUAGGUGGUUUGUCGCGUCGUCUGUGAAAUUCUGGGGCUUAACUCCGGGCGUGCAGGCGAUACGGGCAUAACUUGAGUGCUGUAGGGGUAACUGGAAUUCCUGGUGUAGCGGUGAAAUGCGCAGAUAUCAGGAGGAACACCGAUGGCGAAGGCAGGUUACUGGGCAGUUACUGACGCUGAGGAGCGAAA